UGAAGCUGGAAUUGCUGUAAUGGCAGGUCAGCAUACUGCCGUGAAUACGUUCCCGGGCCCUUGUACACACCGCCCGUCACACCAUGAGAGUUGGAAAUACCCGAAGCCUGUGAGCUAACUUAAAGAGGCAGCAGUCGAAGGUAGAGCCAAUGAUUGGGGUGAAGUCGUAACAAGGUAGC
This 179-nucleotide ribosomal RNA is filed under the name uncultured bacterium. Its description in RNAcentral is "partial 16S ribosomal RNA". It matches the Rfam family "Bacterial small subunit ribosomal RNA", at positions 1321 to 1500 of the family's 1533-position model. The record is from RNAcentral.